UUUGUUUUCUCCUAGGAAUUAAUCAAAAUAACCAAGUGGAUCAGGUUAUACUUGCUGAUUUCUAUUCAGCUUCUGUAAUCAGGCACCAGCAGUUUAUUUGCCACAGAGGGGCAUUUGACAUUGGUUGGCAGGUGUGUGCAUGGUGAGGUGGAGAGCCAGCCCUGUGAGCAGACCAGCGUGCUGUGAACGUGAGGCCCCGCGCAGAGCCUCACCUGGGAGCGGCCUCCUGGGGCAGGCGAGGCAGGAGCCUGUGGGCCUGAUGAGGGAGGCCGGCUGCCCGGAUCUCGGACAUGAGGAGUGCCGCCUCUUCCAAAGCCGGAUAUUUGGCACGUUAUCAGAAAACUUGACCAUCAAAUAUGAAGACAAAUAUCUAAACAGUUACCAGAGAGACAAGACAGAAUGCCUACAAAGGUGAGACCUGGAAACGUCUGCUCUUCAAGGAAGUGUCACAGGAGGCUGGGGUGGAUGAGCUGUUGUGUCGGGUGUAAUUAACAGCAACGACUUGAAUCAGGAUCUCUUCACAUCUUCCCAGAAGACUGCAGGGUCCUGAGGGGACAGAAGCAAAGUCACACAUGAGCACCCCUCCCCAAUUCUAACCGCUAGGAGGUUUAAAAGGAUCCAGUGGAAAACCUCAAGAUAAGAAUGGUCAAAAGGACUGGCACAAAUAACUCACAACAAGAAAGCCAAUCGACCAGUGAACAUCCCUAUGAGCAUUGAAAGACAUGAAAAAUUAAAACGACAUCCUCGAACAUCAGAUUUCAUGUUUCUUCUUUCGGGAGGACUAGUAGCAAAGCGAUGCUCUCUGGCUGCCGCAGGAGCGCCGGCGCUGCCUGAUCGCUGGAGCACCCCGGGCCUUACUGGAGGGACUUGUGUUUUAGAAACGACUCUUCAGGCCACGUGACCCGAGUGGGUGCUGCCAAUCACAGCUGCACCCCCGGGGCCAGCCAAUCAGAGUCUUCCUGGCCUGAAGCCCUGCAGCCAGAGGGGAAAUUUCGUCUUGCACUGUGCAGCUUGGUGAGGCCCGGGGCUCCGGAAAGGUCCCUUCCAGCCCCUGGGGAACAUACCUGUGAAAGGAAAUGAUGGAGUCACCAUGCACAGGGGAGAAACCAUGAAUGGACCAGUCCUGGAGUCAUAGAAACUUCUUGCUCUUAAUUCACAACUUAACACUUUUUCCUGUAUAGUUAAGACAAUGCAUUUGUCUUAUUGCUUAAGCUAAGGUUGUUUUUUUUUUUUUGUCCUAAGAAAUGAAGCUUUUGAUCUGUGGACCACAUCAUUAUUGUGCUUCUUUUACAUAUUGAUUUAGAAAACUUAUAUGUAUAUUGUUUUUCUUCCCACAGGCUGGGAUUCAUUGAUACGGGCAAUAGGGAGAAAAGAGUAUUAUUUAGUAAUGAAAACACAUGCCUGGAUUUGUGUCUCAGAAAGCUAAUAUUGAUCACAGUGUACUAGAUGAAAUAGGGAAGAAUCAGAAGUCAGGGAAACCAACUGAAAAGCUCCAUGUAAGUUAGAUAAGCUAUAAACCAGGGAAGCUGUGAAAGAGGCAAAUGAGAGAAGACCGGCUAGAGACUUAUGUUGGAAGGACAGCUGAAGUGACCUGUAUAUGGAUGAAAAAAGAAAGAUGUAAUAAGAAGAUGCAAAACUUCAGAAAAUGCCAAACAUUGUGAAAGGGACACUAAGAUAAAGGAAGAAAUCUUUAAAUGUGCUUUUCUUGGAGAUCGGUCAUUGAAAAUAUUGGGGAAAACCACUUUUGCCCUGUUGUUGCAUGGUCUGAAUACAGACUUGAGACAUGGGAAAAAAAUCAGAAUUCGUUCCUUCUUUGCUGUUCCCCUGUUCUUGGUUUUUGAUCAGUCUACUGUGAUUGCUUUAGCUCACUAUAGAUUUUGAGAUAGAAGGUUACAACUUCAUGCUUAUCUAUAACUGCAGUAAUGUAACAUUGGAAAUGAUACCCAGCUUUGUCAAAGAUAGCAGGCUCUUCUGAAAGAAUACCAUACCUCACCAUGUGAUUUUCCUUCCUUUAGGAAGAGGUAGCAUUUCAUAUAUUUAUGCACAUCUCAGAAUGAACAAAUUUUAUUUUUCUAAUCAUGGCUUAGAUGAUAAAAGAAAAACAGUAGCAUCUACCAAUAAACAAAUUAAACUAUUUCUUGACUAGCUUAGUGUUAGAAUGACAAAGCCUUGACUGAAAAAUAACCCACUUCUUAUCUGUAACAGUACUCAACAUGUUCUGAUUUUUAAUUUGUUGUUUUUCUGUCAUCUGUGCCCUAGGAAAUUGUAUUCUUAUGUUUUAUUACAAUAAGAAGAAAUAUUUCCAGGUUGCAUAUGGCUGUGCUCUUGAACUUUUGACAUUUAAAGGGCAAUAGAAUGCUAAUGUGACUAAUAAAACAGAAAAGUGACUU
This is a long non-coding RNA of Manis pentadactyla (Chinese pangolin), 2390 nucleotides long. RefSeq lists it as uncharacterized. The record is from RefSeq and is a predicted model, not a curated record. The transcript is spliced from 4 exons. NCBI's taxonomy places the organism in Eukaryota, Metazoa, Chordata, Mammalia, Pholidota, Manidae.